This 422-nucleotide ribosomal RNA is filed under the name uncultured prokaryote. RNAcentral's name for it is "bacterial SSU rRNA". It matches the Rfam family "Bacterial small subunit ribosomal RNA", at positions 356 to 774 of the family's 1533-position model. The record is from RNAcentral.
AACGAAUAUUCCGCAAUGGGCGAAAGCCUGACGGAGCGACGCCGCGUAUGGGAUGAAGUCCUUCGGGAUGUAAACCGUAAUAGUUUGCCAGCAAGUGAUUCGGGCUAAUAUCCCGAAAAGUUGAGCAGCAGAUGAAAGGGACGGCUAACUCCGUGCCAGCAGCCGCGGUAAUACGGAGGUCCCAAGCGUUGUUCGGAUUUACUGGGCUUAAAGCGCGUGUAGGCGGAUUGGUACGUACCUUGUGAAAUCCCACGGCUCAACCGUGGAAUGGCUGGGUAUACGGCCGGUCUUGAGGCUGAUAGAGGUGCCUGGAACCUUAGGUGGAGCGGUGAAAUGCGUAGAUAUCUAAGGGAACGCCGGUGGCGAAAGCGGGGCACUGGGUCGAUUCUGACGCUGAGACGCGAAAGCGUGGGGAGCAAACA